RNAcentral lists this ribosomal RNA (292 nucleotides) under uncultured bacterium. Its description in RNAcentral is "partial 16S ribosomal RNA". It matches the Rfam family "Bacterial small subunit ribosomal RNA", at positions 505 to 796 of the family's 1533-position model. The record is from RNAcentral.
GUGCCAGCAGCCGCGGUAAUACAGAGGGUGCGAGCGUUAAUCGGAAUCACUGGGCUUAAAGGGUGCGUAGGCGGAUGCGUAGGCGCUUUGUGAAAUCCCUCGGCUCAACCGAGGAAUUGCUUGGCGAACCACGCGUCUUGAGGUUGGUAGAGGUCGCUGGAACGAUAGGUGGAGCGGUGAAAUGCGUAGAUAUCUAUCGGAACGCCAAAGGUGAAGACAGGCGACUGGGCCAUACCUGACGCUGAGGCACGAAAGCGUGGGGAGCAAACGGGAUUAGAAACCCUUGUAGUCC